GUGGGGAAUCUUGCGCAAUGGGCGAAAGCCUGACGCAGCCAUGCCGCGUGAAUGAUGAAGGUCUUAGGAUUGUAAAAUUCUUUCACCGGGGACGAUAAUGACGGUACCCGGAGAAGAAGCCCCGGCUAACUUCGUGCCAGCAGCCGCGGUAAUACGAAGGGGGCUAGCGUUGCUCGGAAUUACUGGGCGUAAAGGGCGCGUAGGCGGACAGUUUAGUCAGAGGUGAAAGCCCAGGGCUCAACCUUGGAAUUGCCUUUGAUACUGGCUGUCUUGAGUACGGGAGAGGUGAGUGGAACUCCGAGUGUAGAGGUGAAAUUCGUAGAUAUUCGGAAGAACACCAGUGGCGAAGGCGACUCACUGGCCCGUUACUGACGCUGAGGCGCGAAAGCCAGGGUAGCGAACGGGAUUAGAAACCCCAGUAGUCC
RNAcentral lists this ribosomal RNA (425 nucleotides) under uncultured bacterium. RNAcentral describes it as "partial 16S ribosomal RNA". It matches the Rfam family "Bacterial small subunit ribosomal RNA", at positions 354 to 796 of the family's 1533-position model. The record is from RNAcentral.